This 261-nucleotide ribosomal RNA is filed under the name uncultured archaeon. RNAcentral describes it as "partial 16S ribosomal RNA". It matches the Rfam family "Archaeal small subunit ribosomal RNA", at positions 748 to 1009 of the family's 1478-position model. The record is from RNAcentral.
UAGCCGUAAACGAUACUCGCUAGGUGUCGGCCACGGUGCGACCGUUGUCGGUGCCGUAGGGAAGCCGUGAAGCGAGCCACCUGGGAAGUACGGCCGCAAGGCUGAAACUUAAAGGAAUUGGCGGGGGAGCACCACAACGGGUGGAGCUUGCGGUCUAAUUGGAUUCAACGCCGGAGAUCUUACCGGGACCGACAGCAACAUGAAGGCCAGGCUGAAGACUUUGCCGGAUUAGCUGAGAGGAGGUGCAUGGCGUAGUCGUGU